RNAcentral lists this long non-coding RNA (962 nucleotides) under Chinchilla lanigera (long-tailed chinchilla). RNAcentral describes it as "lncRNA (ENSCLAG00000023940.1)". Lineage: Eukaryota; Metazoa; Chordata; Mammalia; Rodentia; Chinchillidae. The record is from RNAcentral.
AAAAUAAAGCUUGCUGGGCACCAAGACCAUUGUGUGCCAGCUAAGAGACCAAAAGCAGAAAGCAGACAUGUUUUCCAGGUCAUUGAGCCAGGAGUCUCCUCUCAGUACCAGGGGAUGGGCAUACGCCAUGUCGAUGGAGAAAAGACAGCACCCGUGUGGAAGUACCCGAGUCAUGUGCAUUUGAGGAAAGGCCUCAUUCUAGCUGCGAUAAUGAAGAAAAGAAAACGGCAGAUGGAUGUGAGCACCAAGCUCUUGAGACAAGCUUUUUCACAUGGAAAAACCCCUGGAUGGCCGCCACGCUACCCAAUAAGUCCAUGUGCCACACUACACAGCAAUAGAGAACAAACAAGUCAGCAUUAAAAUCCAGGAAGCAUUUCGUAAGGGAGUGAAUCUCAUCAACACAAGUGCCAUGUCUUGUGAAUCAACUUUAUACGCAAGGUGCUUUCUGAUGGGGACUUCCAUGCUGAUUCAUUCUGUGUCUAGCUCGAAUGUCCCUCUGAUAUGGCCCUGUCUGUCAGGAUCACCUUCGGACCCUCGGUGUCCUCCUUCAGUAACGGGAACAAAUGCAAAACUGUGCAUCAAGGCAGUUCUGUUCAAGCCACCAAAAGCGUGGAGGAUGGUGGAUGGGGUCUGAUGUUGGCAGAAGCUGAUGUCUUCUCUUCACAGCUAGGUGAAUCUGAACUCUACUUUCUUGAAAUCUCAUCUUUUCAUAUUUAAAAUCUACAGAAUAGUAUUCACAUCAAAGGCCAUACGGAAAUCUAAAGCAAAUGCAUUCUGCAUAGUUAGUACUAGGUCAGUGUUCCCUAGUUAAUAGAAAUAGUAGGAUUAUAGCCUAAAUUUAGACCUCAUACACUAAUGGCGGCUCAUCUGAACCCAAUUCUCGUAGUUGUAAAGAUAUGCAAGGGAGAUUUUUAUAACAAUUCUCAAAGUACCAUCUGCAGCAAACCAAUAGUUGAGAAAAG